GCGCGGCGGGGCGCGAUGGCGGGCGGGCUGGGGCCGUGGCUGCUGGCCUUGGCCUUGGGGCCGGCGGGAGUGUGUGCACAGUGGAGACUGGAAGCAUCUGGUGGAGGAAAUCAGAAUGAUUCUAUUCCAGAAGUCAUUGUGAUGAAAUCAAAGAAAAACAACAAAGAUGAUGACACUGGGAAAGCAGCUUGUCUGGCAAGGAAUUUUUAUAAGAAGAACAUCAGUUUGGAGAUGCCCUCUACAGAAGUUGUAUAUGAACCAAAAGCACCCAUUGUGACAUCAAAUGGGGUGUAUAAUACUAUUAAGGUGGUCAAAGUGACAAAACAAUCGGAGGUGACGUGCACAGCCAGGUUAAGCAACGGCAAUUUUACAGCCAACUCGACAUCACCAGAAUUGAAAAUUGAAGAAACGAAGUCAGAAAAUACUUGCAACACCACAGACACCUCUGCAGAUAUCAAUGUGGAGAAAGUGAACAUGUUGUCCAUGGCUGUGUUGGGUUUGAGAGUUCUGCUGGCAAAAAGUAUUGCCUUCAAUACACUCAUGAGUAUCAAGCUGCUGCUUUUCUAAGGCAAUGGAGAAACAAGGCAGCAGAAGUGUGAGGAACAGAAGGAGAGAGCAUUUACCAGCAGUAUGAAUUCCAGGGGUGGAAAACCUUCCUAGACAGUUUAAGUAACUGUUAGAGUUGUAACUGAUUUUGCUAUUUCUUGUUCUCUGUGAACUGAGGAGAGUACAUUUUUCUUCAUUCCUUUGCUAAGUAGGAAUUGUUUUUCCCUUUCUUUUAUCCUUUGCAUAGAAGCACCCCACCAGCACUGAUAGUUUUAAAAAUCAGAGCCUCACCACAGGUACAUCACCAUUUGAAAAUGCAUUUACAGGAAUGUUGCAUUACUCCAUAGAGCUGAGAUUUUACUGCUGAGAGGAUUCUGGAGAGGCUAUUAAUUAAUUAAUAUUAAAAGUCUUACUGCUUUUUAGAUAACAAUUUAAAUUCAAUAACAAUCAAUAACUUCAAUAUGCUUCAAUAACAAUCUUUCUAGUGUAGAUGAAGAAAUCUGUGUUGGACCUGAAGUGAUUCACUGCAACCAGAUAAUGUUCAACCACCAGUAACAGUUUUAUUUGCAUUUCUUUGUUUAACUUGUAUCACUUCUGCAAAGCAUACAACAUCUCUGUUUUAAGUUGCUGUAAUCAUUGCUCAAAUAAAGUUUUAAUAUGCUAAAA
This is a non-coding RNA of Tympanuchus pallidicinctus (lesser prairie-chicken), 1212 nucleotides long. The record is from the annotation of a RefSeq genome assembly. Lineage: Eukaryota; Metazoa; Chordata; Aves; Galliformes; Phasianidae.